GCACAAGCGGUGGAUGAUGUGGAUUAAUUCGAUGCAACGCGAAAAACCUUACCUGCCCUUGACAUGUCCGGAAUCCCGAAGAGAUUUGGGAGUGCUCGCAAGAGAACCGGAACACAGGUGCUGCAUGGCUGUCGUCAGCUCGUGUCGUGAGAUGUUGGGUUAAGUCCCGCAACGAGCGCAACCCUUGCCAUUAGUUGCUACGAAAGGGGCACUCUAAUGGGACUGCCGGUGACAAACCGGAGGAAGGUGGGGAUGACGUCAAGUCCUCAUGGCCCUUAUAGGUGGGGCUACACACGUCAUACAAUGGCCGGUACAGAGGGUAGCCAACCCGCGAGGGGGAGCCAAUCCCACAAAGCCGGUCGUAGUCCGGAUCGCAGUCUGCAACUCGACUGCGUGAAGUCGGAAUCGCUAGUAAUCGCGGAUCAGCAUGUCGCGGUGAAUACGUUCCCGGGUCUU
Molecule: ribosomal RNA, 456 nt
Filed under: uncultured Alicycliphilus sp.
Lineage: Bacteria; Pseudomonadati; Pseudomonadota; Betaproteobacteria; Burkholderiales; Comamonadaceae
Description: bacterial SSU rRNA
Rfam family: Bacterial small subunit ribosomal RNA
Source: RNAcentral